UGGAACUUAGGUUUUGAGUGACACGUGGGA
RNAcentral lists this non-coding RNA (30 nucleotides) under Homo sapiens (human). The record is from RNAcentral. Lineage: Eukaryota; Metazoa; Chordata; Mammalia; Primates; Hominidae.